AGGCCAGCAGCUUUAGCUCCAAUUAGAUCCCCAGCCUGGAACCUCCAUAUGCUGUGGGUACAGCCCUAAAAAGCCAAAAUUAAAUAAAUAAAUAAAUAAAUAAUGAAAGAAAAGAAAGGAAAAAAAAAGAAAAUGUAGCACUUCUUGUUCAAAAAGAACAAAAUUCCAUUGAAGGUACUGAAAUAUAAAGCUUUUUAUUUUCUUCUGUUCUCUCUCUCUCAACUUAUCCUGUGUUAUAACUUUCUAUUAAGUCUUACUCUAAAUACAGUAUGAGUUAGCAUGAGUUUUUGCCAUACAUUUUUCUAUUGUGUGAUGCCAGUUCUAAAUGCAAAUAUAAGAACACUUAACUUGUAUAUGGGAUUCCUGAAAUUACUCCAUUUGUAUUUUAAAGCUUCAUGUAAGCUAACUCAACUGCUUUUAUUUUGCUUCUUGAUAUAUGCAUAUUCUAUUAAUAUUCUCUACCUAAGGCUUCUGUUGAAGAAAGAACUGAAAGGAAAAGGAACAAUGGGUUGCUCUAUAUUUCUCUUUCCUUAUGUGUCAUAAUUUUCAGUGUAGGUUGGCUGUUACAGGGAAAUAAGAAAGAUAUGAGAGCGUUCCUUGGCUGUUCAUAUUUCUUUGAAUGCCAUUGCCUGUUUCUACAUUCAAAGCAAAUUUUGGUUGGAAGAGAAAGCAUGGUCUCUUGGGUCUGUCAAUGCCAUCAUUUACUCUGCUGUAGAUAAAGCAUGCUUACCUUUUUCUUGCUUUGAAUCUUGCUCAACUCCCAUGCACAGUGCAUCCAUCAGAAUUCUAUGUUCAUAGGGUAUCACAGAUACAAUAUGCAAAUGAGGCAGCGAAGGAGCGAGGACAAACAAGUUGCUUGUCUAUCUCCUCUGCUUCUGUGUGUGCUCUACUGUUCCAUCAGAGUUAUCUAUAACACAGAAAGUCAAGGAUAACAUUAUUAAGCAUUUCAAGAUGGCAGCAGCAGAGCAUUAAACCAAGAAUGCUACCCUUCUAAACACUUGGCCCUGCGUGACUUCACAGGUUACAUGUCCAAGAAGCUGUCUCACUAAACUGGCCCUGAUUAAUUCCUGUCGUGGCUUAGUGAUUAACGAAUCCGACUAGGAACCAUGAGGUUGCGGGUUCGAUCCCUGGCUUUGCAGUGUGUUGAAGAUCCGGCAUUGCUGUGAGCUGUGGUGUAGGUUGCAGACAUGGCUUGGAUCCUGCAUUGCUGUGGCUCUGGUGUAGGCCACUGGCUGUAGCUCCGAUUCGACCCCUAGCCUGAGAACCUCCAUAUGCCGCAGGAGCGGCCCAAGAAAUCACAAAAAGACAAAAAUAAAUAAAUAAAUAAACUUGACCCUCUCAAUAUGGUGCACAGUCAUAUUUAGUGUAUAUGCUAUUCUCUGACUAACAACUUCAUGGUCAGGUUUUAUCUGAGUGUGUCUCUGCCUCAAAUGUAAUGUCAAACAUCACUUCUUAUAGCAUGUUAAACAAAACAAAAACAAAACAUAAUGAACAACAACAACAACAAAAAAAACCCACCAACUGAAUAAUCAUAUGAGGUAUGUCUGUAUUAAUUGCAUUACAAUGCUCAGAAAUCUUGCCAAAUGGUAAUCAGGAACAGGCAUCAUCAAUUUUUUUUUUUUUUUAUCAUCUUUAGCAUGGAGAAUUCAUCCUAAUGGUCAGAAGGUGUUCUAACUUUUGACAUUUUUAUAGGCUAGAGAGGAAGGACAGUAGCCCAGUCUCUGCAUUUCAGUAUCCACAACUAUGUUACUUAUAGUUGCAAGGGAGUCUGAAAAAUGUGUAGUUUAGCUUUGGGUAUCUUUGGGAAAGAAAGGCAAAGGAAAGGGUUUGGGAAAUGUGGGGAGCCAAGAAGAUACAAGAAGCCGAGGAAGGGAGCUUUCCUGAACGGUGCAAUUCCAAGGGCAGUCUCCUAAUCAGAAAAAGAGGCCUGCCUGAAUGGUGCAGUUGUGAGGGCAGUCUCCUAAUCAGGAAAAGGGGCCUGUCUGAAUGGUACAAUUCUGAGGGCAGGUUCCUAAACAAGGGGAUGCCUGCCUGUAUGGCACAAUUCCGGGGACAAGCCCCAGAAGACACUAAGGCUCGCCUGCUGACAUAGGUGGAAAACUAAAUUUCCCAGGAAAUAAUUUCCAUUUUGUGUUGCUGAGUGGGGAUUGUUCCAUGGAUAACUUAGUCUUUUCUGUUAUUCACUUGCUAUUCAGUUUUCCUCAAUCUUUCCUGAUUAUUUACUUAUUAUUCUUAUUUCCCAUUCUUAUUUUCCUGUGGUGAUUUGUGAUUUAACAAAAUUACAACAAUAAUAUAAUAAGAAUUUCAUCCUGAAGGACUUUCCCCUAUUUUAAUCCAACUUAGUUAAAACAUAGUGUUUAUCUAUUAGCUAGUUACAUAGUAAACUUUAGAGUUAGGAUCUUAAUGAGGUUCAUGUAUUAUCCAAAAAACCUAGCUGUGAGUUUUGUCCUUGAUUUUAAAAGCUUUUAAGUGAUAGCUAGUUUAGUUAAGUUGGUUUAUAUUUACUUACACUAUCUCCCUGCCAUAACGCUUUGAAGAUAAGCACCAGUCUACAAACAAGGUUUGUGAAUGCCAAAUUCUUGUGUCUAUGGCCUCUUCAAAGUACUCACUAAGUUUAGUUAAGAUAGAGAUUUUAAAACAGGAUGCAUAGCUGCUAUACCAUGUAAUAGUUAACCAAUGUACUUUUAACACUGUGAUGUAAUCUGUAGUGAAAAACUGUCUAUAUAAUCAACCACUGUUGCCAAUAAAGUUUGAGCAGUCCAGCGCCCUGAAAGAAGGGACAAGAGGCUGUCUCCUUAUUGUACAUUUUCGCCGACGCCGUCCAUCUCCGAUCAGGAAAAAGUGUACACUCCCUGGCUGCCAGAGCUGGCCUCCAGCAGGGAAAGGCUCUUGGAUAGUCUGUCCAUGGUGUCCACCACAGUCCACCCCUUUGCUACACCUGAUUCACACAUUUCUUUAUUUUCAUACAUUCACUUCAUGUGGAAUACAUUUACUUCUUCCCCCCAAGGAAUACAGUUCUAGUUACUGCAUGCUGGUCAAAGUCCAGUAUCUCUGUGUGAGAUCUAGUUCUCUUCACAAGUUAUGGCUGUGGUUCCAUGUGACCUGGAAAACUUAAGUUUAAGAGUAAAAACAGCUGGAGUUCCCGUCAUGGAGUUCCCGUCAUGGCUCAGUGGUUAACAAAUCCAACUAGGAACCAUGAGGUUGCAGUUCGAUCCCUGUCUUGCUCACUGGGUUAAGGAGCCGGUGUUGCCAUGAGAUGUGCCGUAGGUUGCAGACUCAGCUCGGAUCCCGUGUUGCUGUGGCUCUGGUGUAGGCCGGUGGCUACAGCUCCAAUUCGACCCCUAGCCUGGGAACCUCCAUGUGCCGCAGGAGUGGCCCAAGAAAUAGCAA
This 3390-nucleotide long non-coding RNA is filed under the name Sus scrofa (pig). RNAcentral's name for it is "lncRNA (ENSSSCG00000059250.1)". Lineage: Eukaryota; Metazoa; Chordata; Mammalia; Artiodactyla; Suidae. The record is from RNAcentral.